GUAAGGAAUCUUUCGCAAUGGGGGAAACCCUGACGAAGCGAUACCGCGUGAACGAGGAAGGUCGAAAGAUUGUAAAGUUCUUUUCUGGAGGAAGAAUUCUGACGGUACUCCAGGAAUAAGCACCGGCAAACUCCGUGCCAGCAGCCGCGGUAAUACGGAGGGUGCAAGCGUUACCCGGAAUUAUUGGGCGUAAAGCGUCUACAGGCGGUCUUUUAAGUUGAAUGUCAAAUUUUGAAGCCCAACUUCAAAUCGGUGUUCAAAACUGGGAGACUAGAGUGUUCUAGAGGCAUGUGGAAUUCUGUGUGUAGGGGUUAAAUCCGUAGAUAUACAGAAGAACACCAAAAGCGAAAGCAGCAUGCUGGAGAAUUACUGACGCUCACGGACGAAAGCGUGGGGAGCGAACGGGAUUAGAUACCCGAGUAGUCC
Molecule: ribosomal RNA, 426 nt
Filed under: uncultured bacterium
Lineage: Bacteria
Description: bacterial SSU rRNA
Rfam family: Bacterial small subunit ribosomal RNA
Source: RNAcentral